Molecule: ribosomal RNA, 254 nt
Filed under: uncultured bacterium
Lineage: Bacteria
Description: partial 16S ribosomal RNA
Rfam family: Bacterial small subunit ribosomal RNA
Source: RNAcentral
UACGUAGGUGGCAAGCGUUAUCCGGAAUUAUUGGGCGUAAAGCGCGCGCAGGUGGUUUCUUAAGUCUGAUGUGAAAGCCCACGGCUCAACCGUGGAGGGUCAUUGGAAACUGGGAGACUUGAGUGCAGAAGAGGAAAGUGGAAUUCCAUGUGUAGCGGUGAAAAUGCGUAGAGAUAUGGAGGAACACCAGUGGCGAAGGCGACUUUCUGGUCUGUAACUGACACUGAGGCGCGAAAGCGUGGGGAGCAAACAGG